AAACCAACCGGGAUUGCCUCAGUAACGGCGAGUGAAGCGGCAAAAGCUCAAAUUUGAAAUCUGGCACUUUCAGUGUCCGAGUUGUAAUUUGUAGAAGUAGUUUUGGGGCUGGUCCUUGUCUAUGUUCCUUGGAACAGGACGUCAUAGAGGGUGAGAAUCCCGUGUGGCGAGGAUCCCAGUUCUUUGUAAAACGCUUUCGAAGAGUCGAGUUGUUUGGGAAUGCAGCUCUAAGUGGGUGGUAAAUUCCAUCUAAAGCUAAAUAUUGGCGAGAGACCGAUAGCGAACAAGUACAGUGAUGGAAAGAUGAAAAGCACUUUGAAAAGAGAGUGAAAAAGUACGUGAAAUUGUUGAAAGGGAAGGGCUUGAGAUCAGACUUGGUGACUCGUCACUGGGGCCAGCAUCGGGUUCGGGCGGCAGGAGAAUGCCGCGGGAAAGUGGCUCUUCUUUGGGGAGAGUGUUAUAGCCCGCGGAGAUACUGCCUGCGUGGACCGAGGACUGCGGCAA
RNAcentral lists this ribosomal RNA (504 nucleotides) under uncultured Hanseniaspora. RNAcentral's name for it is "eukaryotic LSU rRNA". It matches the Rfam family "Eukaryotic large subunit ribosomal RNA", at positions 62 to 564 of the family's 3401-position model. The record is from RNAcentral. Lineage: Eukaryota; Fungi; Ascomycota; Saccharomycetes; Saccharomycodales; Saccharomycodaceae.